Argentina anserina (silverweed cinquefoil) is the source of this 375-nucleotide long non-coding RNA. RefSeq lists it as uncharacterized. The record is from RefSeq and is a predicted model, not a curated record. The transcript is spliced from 3 exons. NCBI's taxonomy places the organism in Eukaryota, Viridiplantae, Streptophyta, Magnoliopsida, Rosales, Rosaceae.
AACUGGUUGUGUCCAUGUCUGCAACUCCAGAGAAACACAGCCGACGGAGACCAGAGAGCACAAGGUAAAGCAAGCGCCACCGCCGGAGGCCCAAACCUUCGUUUCACAACCUGUGCCGCGACCAAUUUCCGCAUUGAAACUAUCAGAAAGGACACGAUGGUGAGGAAGUCACUGAGACGCAGGAUUUCACCAGUGUUUAUUGGCAAGGUUCCAAUUAUGCUUCGGUCGAGUUAUUGUACAUUGUAUCAGAAUUCGGAGAAGGACUUGACGGAGCUGGGGGAGUGUUCGUAUGACCAAGGAGGGUAUUUCAUUAUCAAUGGGAGUGAGAAGGUGUUGAUUUCUCAGGAGAAGAUGAGCACAAACCACGUUGAUGUC